RNAcentral lists this transfer RNA (77 nucleotides) under Spinacia oleracea (spinach). It matches the Rfam family "tRNA". Rfam says of the family: Transfer RNA (tRNA) molecules are approximately 80 nucleotides in length. Their secondary structure includes four short double-helical elements and three loops (D, anti-codon, and T loops). The record is from Rfam by way of RNAcentral. Lineage: Eukaryota; Viridiplantae; Streptophyta; Magnoliopsida; Caryophyllales; Amaranthaceae.
AGUCUAUUAGCUCAAUUGGUCAAGCACUGUGUACUUUACGAGCACAAAGGAUGUAGGUUCAAGUCCUACAUAGGCUA